GCAGUAGCCGCGGUAAUACGUAGGUGGCAAGCGUUGUCCGGAAUUAUUGGGCGUAAAGGGCUCGCAGGCGGUUUCUUAAGUCUGAUGUGAAAGCCCCCGGCUCAACCGGGGAGGGUCAUUGGAAACUGGGAAACUUGAGUGCAGAAGAGGAGAGUGGAAUUCCACGUGUAGCGGUGAAAUGCGUAGAGAUGUGGAGGAACACCAGUGGCGAAGGCGACUCUCUGGUCUAUAAUUGACGCUGAGGAGCGAAAGCGUGGGGAGCGAACAGGAUUAGAUACCCGAGUAGUCCCUGUCUCUUAUAC
Molecule: ribosomal RNA, 302 nt
Filed under: uncultured bacterium
Lineage: Bacteria
Description: partial 16S ribosomal RNA
Rfam family: Bacterial small subunit ribosomal RNA
Source: RNAcentral